UACGUUGACGGGGGAGCGUUACUGGUCGUUACUAGGCGUAAAGUGUGGCUAGACGGUUUAAGAACUUAUAGGCUAAAUAAACGGGAUAACAAUGCGCCUCAUAAAACCUUAAUACUAUCUGAGAGAGGGGGAAGUUUGCAAUACGUAUAACCUAGAGAUAAAAUUCUGAAAGGCUAUAGGGAUUCUCAAGUGCCACGGCAGCAAACUACCCUUACUCUGACAUUCAACCACUAAAGUAUGGAGAUCGAAUAGGAUUGGAGACCCUAAUAGUCCAUACCCUGAAUCAAUGGGUACCAUACGUGAGGUAAUUGUAUCUUGUGUAUCAGCUUACGCGUAAGUGCCUCGCCUGGGGAGUAAGGCUGCAAUGGUAAAACUUAAACAGAUUGGCGGGAGUUUGUAUGAACGGUGGAGCGUGUGGUUUAAUUCGACAAUCCACGUGAGAUCUUACCAAUGAAUUGAAAAAUCCAUAAUGAUAAAUUUUAUUAGAAUUUUCGAAGGGUUUUUAGCUGGCACUGCAUGGCUGUCGUCAGUUCGUGUUGUAGAAUGUAAUAUUUAGUUAUUGAACGAACGCAACCUUUAAUAUAAAUGUCAUACUCAAUUUUUUGUUGAUGAUACAGUUUUUAACUGCGCGACGAAAUUCGGUAUUAUUUAUAUCACGACAAAGGGGGUUAUUUAGACUGUUAACUUUGCAACCUGUUGACUCAUGAGGCGAAAUGUUCCGAUUGAUAGGGCUGCGUUUCGGUUCUCGAUUCACGCCUUUUGCAUACCGUCCGGUUGCAGAGGGCUCGUGAGCUUGCGGAGGAGGGCUUUUAGAGCCGGAAUUUGUGAGCCGUGACGUAGUGUUGCAACUUUAAUUUUGUUGACCCUUUUUGUGGAAGUUAAGUAGAAGUCAAGUCAUUAUGGUCUAGAUGUGUUGGGCUACACAUGCGCUACAAGGGUAAAGACAGUGAGAGGCGAGGGCGUGAUCCCAAGCAAAUCUUAAAAAAUUAUCCCAGUCCAGAUUGUUGAUUGAAACUCAUCAGCAUGAAGUCGGAAUCGUUAGUAAUCGUGAAUCAGUAUGUCACGGUGAAUGAUCUAUCAAACUU
Molecule: ribosomal RNA, 1085 nt
Filed under: uncultured organism
Description: partial small subunit ribosomal RNA
Rfam family: Bacterial small subunit ribosomal RNA
Source: RNAcentral